Molecule: ribosomal RNA, 497 nt
Filed under: uncultured bacterium
Lineage: Bacteria
Description: partial 16S ribosomal RNA
Rfam family: Bacterial small subunit ribosomal RNA
Source: RNAcentral
GAUGAACGCUGGCGGCGUGCCUAAUACAUGCAAGUCGAGCGAACAGACGAGGAGCUUGCUCCUCUGACGUUAGCGGCGGACGGGUGAGUAACACGUGGAUAACCUACCUAUAAGACUGGGAUAACUUCGGGAAACCGGAGCUAAUACCGGAUAAUAUAUUGAACCGCAUGGUUCAAUAGUGAAAGACGGUUUUGCUGUCACUUAUAGAUGGAUCCGCGCCGCAUUAGCUAGUUGGUAAGGUAACGGCUUACCAAGGCAACGAUGCGUAGCCGACCUGAGGGGGUGAUCGGCCACACUGGAACUGAGCCACGGUCCAGACUCCUACGGGAGGCAGCAGUAGGGAAUCUUCCGCAAUGGGCGAAAGCCUGACGGAGCAACGCCGCGUGAGUGAUGAAGGUCUUCGGAUCGUAAAACUCUGUUAUUAGGGAAGAACAAAUGUGUAAGUAACUAUGCACGUCUUGACGGUACCUAAUCAGAAAGCCCCGGCUAACUACGUG